RNAcentral lists this transfer-messenger RNA (371 nucleotides) under Flavobacteriales. RNAcentral's name for it is "GCA-2715565 sp002715565 Standard tmRNA". It matches the Rfam family "transfer-messenger RNA". From Rfam's summary of the family: Bacterial tmRNA, also known as 10Sa RNA or SsrA, is named for its dual tRNA and mRNA-like properties. Its role is to liberate the mRNA from a stalled ribosome. To accomplish this part of the tmRNA is used as a reading frame that ends in a translation stop signal. Lineage: Bacteria; Pseudomonadati; Bacteroidota; Flavobacteriia. RNAcentral also lists the same sequence under 2 other names. The record is from RNAcentral.
GGGGGCGAUUGGCUUCGACGGGUAAUGUAAAUCUUUUAAAUGCAUGUGGAGAAUGCUCUACAAACUCCUUAAUCUUUAGGGCACAAUGUAAAUAGCGACUAUAGCUAUCCUGCUGUUGCUUAAUUAGUUAACAGCCAUCUCAUUAAAACUUUGUAUGCGAGAUUUAAUUGAGGUGUCAUUUUAGCAUACUAUGCUAAAAAUUUUCCUGAUAAUUUUUAGAUGAAACUAUUUACUUCGGUAAAUAUUCAGGAUAGUUUUAUUUGAUUGUGACUAUGCAAGCAAAUAAAAUAAAAAUAAAAUAUAGUCUAAACAUGUAGAUUUUAUCUGAAUUUCUUAUGCGGACCGCGGUUCGAUUCCGCGCGCCUCCACAA